AUCUCUCUCACUCAUUCUCUUUCUCUUUCUCUCUUUGAAUGGGUAACUUCUAAAAAUUGUUUGUUUUUAUUGGCGUCUCCAGCUACAAUUUAACUGCAGUUUUUUUCAGAAAGUGUUAUGUUCUGUUUCAUCUCAAAUUUCCUGGUUAAAGUCUAAAAUAAAAAUUGCAGAUUAGAAAAUCCUUUGAGAAUGGGGUUCAGCAAGUGAAACUGUUUGAAGGCACAAUACUGUUUGUGAUGGGGCCGUGAUGGAUCUGCUGGGCACAUGGAAUGCUGGAAAUAAAUUUUGCCUGUGUUUUAAGAUGGAAAUAAAUCUCUUGGGUUCAUUUUGCUUUGUUCUGAUUUCUUAACUCGUGUAUUUCUGCAAGCAAUCUAGACAUGACAGAAACAAAUUGAUGGAGACAGAAAUGGGAGAAUCCCACCCUGUCAGAAGAUGAAUGAGUUGAGCUUGCAUGAUGUGAACCAUGGCUGACAGAAGCGAGGUGGAAUCAAAGAGUGAGCAACUUUUGACAACACACGCUUCACAGCUCUGACCACUGAGGAUCUACAUGAUUAUCUCCAGACAAAAUAACUAAUUGUAGAAGACUGUAGGCUAUUGCCCCCCAGGAAAGCCUUAUAGCUGCUUCACAAUACAGAAUAUGGUUGUCCGCCUGAAAGGUAUUAUUAUUAGAAAAAAAUGUCCAAUUGCAUUAAUACAUAUUUUUAAACUGAUUGUCAUUAAAGAACUUAGAGUAAAUCUCCAAGAACAGCAUAUAGUUCUGGAAAGCAAGUUUCAGUGUUGAUAAACAUGAUGUGAAUCAUGACUGUUAUCUAGAUUCUUGGUAUAAACCUUGUUUCCUAGGGACUGAAAAUGUAUCCCUCUUUUGG
This is a long non-coding RNA of Dermochelys coriacea (leatherback sea turtle), 866 nucleotides long. RefSeq lists it as uncharacterized. NCBI's taxonomy places the organism in Eukaryota, Metazoa, Chordata, Testudines, Dermochelyidae. The transcript has 5 exons. The record is from RefSeq and is a predicted model, not a curated record.